UAAAAUAGAAACACAUUCUUCUUUGUGUAGCGAACAGUGGCGGCAGCAAGAGACGAUUUUUGCUCUUGUUGUUUGCUUCUUUCGCCGCACACAAAACUUUCAGUUUAUUCAAAGUUACAGGACACGCUGUCCGGGCAGCCAGGACAUAUUCUCCAUGGCAACGAACGUCCCGUCGGUCCCGUUGUCCUCCUCGCUGCACUGUCAGCAUCAUUAUGGCUAAUAAACAUUGCCAUUUGCGGCUGGCCAACAGUCAACGGGGCGAAUCAGAGGGCAAGGGAAUGGCUCUUUCGUCACCAAGGGACUCGGACAGAAGCCGAGUCAGUAGAACUGCAAGUGGGUUAAAGUUCGCCGAAAGAUACAAAUUACCAACAGCUCAAGGGCAUUACUUAUGUAGAUCAAAUGCUGCUCCAUUUUUCUACUUUUAAGUACGUUGAUAAAGGUUUUUUCUAAACCUCAACCAAGAUGACAUAAUUUUUUGCUGGCAAAAGCUGACUGAGUUCGAGAAGCCAAAGGUAAAAAUUCGUCGGCUUGCCACAGAGCCGGUAAUCAGGGCAAAGUCCUGGCCCACUUGAUGAAUCACCUGCUAAUUUAUCACCUGGAUUUUGCGUGUCCAUUGUGCAGAUGGAUCCCCAGAGCACUCGGCUUAGUUAGUGCUUGCCUUUCAUGAAAUUUGAAUUUGAAUCUUCACCUCAGCCUUAUGCUCAUGCAUCAAAUGUGGGCAGACCUGCAAAUUGUUUGUAAAUAAACUAGAUGAAAGCCUGGGCCAAAUGCAUGGCGAAUUUUGGAGCGGUCCUCCAAAGUGGGUGAGUGAGCGCAUAAACAAAAGUAGCUUAAGACCAUUUUUGUGCAUAAACAAAUUAUGUUUCCAAAAGCAAGAGCCCAAAUAGGAGAAGUCGUGGGCCACAGCUGAUGCAGCAAUGUUAUCCAUGGAUUCCACCUUAUAAGUCCGUAAUGACUCCCCAUCAAAGCUCAUCUGCAUUUUCUCCCGUUUCGUCUCUAAACUUCUUAUAUUAAUAGCUUAAGGUGAGUGUUUCAGACUAGACAAGCAGCCUAAGCGCAUGUUGCUUGCUAGACUCGUCAGCUUCUAAUUAAUUAUGAAAAGUGCCACGCCCACAAGCCCACAAGCCCACACUACACGACAUGCACACACUUGCCAAGAGCUUUGGUUGGUUUAUGGAGCGCGAAA
Molecule: long non-coding RNA, 1186 nt
Organism: Drosophila gunungcola (fruit fly)
Lineage: Eukaryota; Metazoa; Arthropoda; Insecta; Diptera; Drosophilidae
Exons: 3
Source: RefSeq, a predicted model, not a curated record